Molecule: ribosomal RNA, 407 nt
Filed under: uncultured bacterium
Lineage: Bacteria
Description: partial 16S ribosomal RNA
Rfam family: Bacterial small subunit ribosomal RNA
Source: RNAcentral
GACGAACGCUGGCGGCGUGCUUAACACAUGCAAGUCGAACGAAGUGGCGAACGGGUGAGUAAUACGUGGGUAACCUGCCCUCCUUUUUGGGAUAAGCCUUGGAAACGGGGUCUAAUACCGACUAUAGGGGGAUGGGCUCGCGGCCUAUCAGGUUGUUGGUGGGGUGAGGGCCCACCAAGGCGGUGGCGGGUAGCCGGCCUGAGAGGGUGACGGGCCAGAUUGGGGGUGAGAAACGGCCCAGGCUCCUACGGGGGGGAGCAGUGGAGGAUAUUGGCCAAUGGGCGAAAGCCUGAUGCAGCGGAGCCAGGUGGGGGGUGGAGGGUUUCGGGUUGUAAGCCUCUUUCGCUAUCGAAAGGGUAGGUGAGGAAGAAGCGCCGGCUAACUACGUGCCAGCAGCGCGGUAAUUC